RNAcentral lists this ribosomal RNA (676 nucleotides) under uncultured archaeon. Its description in RNAcentral is "bacterial SSU rRNA". It matches the Rfam family "Archaeal small subunit ribosomal RNA", at positions 150 to 829 of the family's 1478-position model. The record is from RNAcentral.
ACCGCGAUAGGCCAAGGCUUCUGGAAUGAACCAUGGCCGAAACCUAUACGGCCCCUGGAUUGGACUGCGGCCGAUCAGGCUGUUGGUGAGGUAAUGGCCCACCAAACCUGUAACCGGUACGGGCUUUGAGAGAAGGAGCCCGGAGAUGGGCACUGAGACAAGGGCCCAGGCCCUAUGGGGCGCAGCAGGCGCGAAACCUCUGCAAUAGGCGAAAGCUUGACAGGGUUACUCUGAGUGAUGUCCGUUAAGGGCAUCUUUUGGCACCUCUAAAAAUGGUGCAGAAUAAGGGGUGGGCAAGUCUGGUGUCAGCCGCCGCGGUAAUACCAGCACCCCGAGUGGUCGGGACGAUUAUUGGGCCUAAAGCAUCCGUAGCUUGUUCUGCAAGUCCUCCGUUAAAUCCACCUGCUCAACAGAUGGGCUGCGGAGGAUACUACAGGGCUAGGAGGCGGGAGAGGCAAGCGGUACUCAGUGGGUAGGGGUAAAAUCCUCUGAUCCACUGAAGACCACCAGUGGCGAAGGCGGCUUGCCAGAACGCGCUCGACGGUGAGGGAUGAAAGCUGGGGGAGCAAACCGGAUUAGAUACCCGGGUAGUCCCAGCUGUAAACGAUGCAGACUCGGUGAUGGGUUGGCUUUGCGCCAACCCAGUGCCGCAGGGAAGCCGUUAAGUCUGCCGCCU